Molecule: ribosomal RNA, 685 nt
Filed under: Dendrochilus sp. MiMio10
Lineage: Eukaryota; Metazoa; Arthropoda; Insecta; Coleoptera; Curculionidae
Description: partial large subunit ribosomal RNA
Rfam family: Eukaryotic large subunit ribosomal RNA
Source: RNAcentral
CGUUUAGGGGUAAACCUGAGAAACCCGAAAGGUCGAAGGAAGAAAUUCAUUCGCGUUUCGAGGCUAGCGGGAGUCGGUGUUGAGUGACGGCGAGCGUUUCGACGUUUACCGCGCCCUCCGACUUCGCGAACUGGCAACGAACGCGUGCACUUUUUUUCUGGUAGGACGUCGCGAUCCGUUGAGCGUCGGUCUACGGCCCACGGUGGAGCCCGUUCGUUGUCGUUUACGCGACGUACGAACGAACCCGUGAAGCUUGGCCGACCCGCUCGACGGUACAAGAACGGUUCGAGGCCGCUCUCAGGAGCGUUCGGCUCGUGACAAGCGCGUCAGACGCGUCGACGACCGGACCAUGUGCCGAUCCCGACCUCUGAUGACUGUUGGUCGCGAAGUUCUCGAACAGACCUCGUUAUCGAAAACCGAUCUGCGACGCUACAGCUUGGGUACUUUCAGGACCCGUCUUGAAACACGGACCAAGGAGUCUAGCAUGUGCGCGAGUCAUUGGGAAUCACUAAACCUAAUGGCGCAAUGAAAGUAAAGGUUUUCCUUGCGAAGACCGAGGGAAGACGGGCGGCUCGCCCUUAAAAGCGGCCGCCUCGCAUUCCCGGGGCGUCUCGUUCUCAUCGCGAGAAGAGGCGCACCAAGAGCGUACACGCUGGGACCCGAAAGAUGGUGAACUAUGCCUGGU